CAUAUCACCCCUACUCCUAUGUUUAGGGAAUUUGACAUAUCCCAUAUCUUUCUAACGAGAAGCUCUACGUACAUAUUCGACCCGUGUAAUUCAAGCUUCAUUCUCACAUGCUUCCUAUCUAACAAGUACCUUUUAAUCAAAACUAGUAGCUUCAUGUUCUCUAAUCCCACUAUGUACAACCUGACUAAUCACAACUUAGGUCUAACCA
Molecule: long non-coding RNA, 208 nt
Filed under: Solanum tuberosum (potato)
Lineage: Eukaryota; Viridiplantae; Streptophyta; Magnoliopsida; Solanales; Solanaceae
Description: long non-coding RNA (STUB_LNC010626)
Source: RNAcentral